CAUCUUAAGGAAGAAGGCUGAUGACUAAUUUUGAGACAAUGAAUAGGCUACCUUGAGGCAAUACUUAAUAUUAGAAGAUUAGAGUUUUAGGAAGAUGAGCAUGAGAUAUAUAAGAGACAACCGGUCAUCUUAAGGAAGAAGGUUGAUGGCUAAUUUUUAGAUAAUGAAUAGGAUACCUUGAGGCAAUACCUAAUAUUAAAAGAUGGUGGCAACAUAGAAUAAGCAGAAGACAUGGUGUAAAAUGCGGUAGGUUUGGGAGGGAGAGAGAAUUAAUUAUUGAGUGUAAUCUUAGAAAAAUAGAAUAGUUAUUUGGUUGGGAAAAAAGUAUCAUGCUCUUUAAUUAAAUUCUUUAAAUCACAAUUGUUAAUUAAAUUUAA
RNAcentral lists this long non-coding RNA (377 nucleotides) under Lathyrus oleraceus (garden pea). RNAcentral's name for it is "Pisum sativum (pea) long non-coding RNA (PSAT_LNC004679)". The record is from RNAcentral. Lineage: Eukaryota; Viridiplantae; Streptophyta; Magnoliopsida; Fabales; Fabaceae.